RNAcentral lists this ribosomal RNA (448 nucleotides) under uncultured bacterium. Its description in RNAcentral is "bacterial SSU rRNA". It matches the Rfam family "Bacterial small subunit ribosomal RNA", at positions 29 to 524 of the family's 1533-position model. The record is from RNAcentral.
AACGAACGCUGGCGGCAUGCCUAACACAUGCAAGUCGAACGAGACCUUCGGGUCUAGUGGCGCACGGGUGCGUAACGCGUGGGAAUCUGCCCUUGGGUUCGGAAUAACAGUUAGAAAUGACUGCUAAUACCGGAUAAUGUCUUCGGACCAAAGAUUUAUCGCCCAGGGAUGAGCCCGCGUAGGAUUAGCUAGUUGGUGAGGUAAAGGCUCACCAAGGCGACGAUCCUUAGCUGGUCUGAGAGGAUGAUCAGCCACACUGGGACUGAGACACGGCCCAGACUCCUACGGGAGGCAGCAGUGGGAAUAUUGGACAAUGGCGAAAGCCUGAUCCAGCAAUGCCGCGUGAGUGAUGAAGGCCUUAGGGUUGUAAAGCUCUUUUACCCGGGAUGAUAAUGACAGUACCGGGAGAAUAAGCCCCGGCUAACUUCGUGCCAGCAGCCGCGGUAAU